GAGGCUAUGGUGUAAUGGUAGCACACGAGCUUGUGGAGCUCUUUGUCUGGGUUCAACUCCCAGUAGCCUCC
Molecule: transfer RNA, 71 nt
Filed under: Minisyncoccota bacterium
Lineage: Bacteria; Bacillati; Minisyncoccota
Description: tRNA-His
Rfam family: tRNA
About the family: Transfer RNA (tRNA) molecules are approximately 80 nucleotides in length. Their secondary structure includes four short double-helical elements and three loops (D, anti-codon, and T loops). Further hydrogen bonds mediate the characteristic L-shaped molecular structure. tRNAs have two regions of fundamental functional importance: the anti-codon, which is responsible for specific mRNA codon recognition, and the 3' end, to which the tRNAs corresponding amino acid is attached (by aminoacyl-tRNA synthetases). tRNAs cope with the degeneracy of the genetic code in two manners: having more than one tRNA (with a specific anti-codon) for a particular amino acid; and 'wobble' base-pairing, i.e. permitting non-standard base-pairing at the 3rd anti-codon position.
Source: RNAcentral